AACGAACGCUGGCGGCAUGCCUAACACAUGCAAGUCGAACGAGAUCCUUCGGGGUCUAGUGGCGCACGGGUGCGUAACGCGUGGGAAUCUGCCCUUAGGUUCGGAAUAACAGUUAGAAAUGACUGCUAAUACCGGAUGAUGACGUUAAGUCCAAAGAUUUAUCGUCUGAGGAUGAGCCCGCGUAGGAUUAGCUAGUUGGUGUGGUAAAGGCGCACCAAGGCGACGAUCCUUAGCUGGUCUGAGAGGAUGAUCAGCCACACUGGGACUGAGACACGGCCCAGACUCCUACGGGAGGCAGCAGUGGGGAAUAUUGGACAAUGGGCGCAAGCCUGAUCCAGCAAUGCCGCGUGAGUGAUGAAGGCCUUAGGGUUGUAAAGCUCUUUUACCCGAGAUGAUAAUGACAGUAUCGGGAGAAUAAGCCCCGGCUAACUCCGUG
Molecule: ribosomal RNA, 436 nt
Filed under: uncultured bacterium
Lineage: Bacteria
Description: partial 16S ribosomal RNA
Rfam family: Bacterial small subunit ribosomal RNA
Source: RNAcentral